This 67-nucleotide transfer RNA is filed under the name Colias erate poliographus. RNAcentral's name for it is "tRNA-Val". The record is from RNAcentral. Lineage: Eukaryota; Metazoa; Arthropoda; Insecta; Lepidoptera; Pieridae.
ACAAAUUUAGAGCUUGAUAAAGUAUUUCAUUUACAUUGAGAAGAAAUUAUAAAAAUAAUUAAUUUGA